GUUUAACAGAAAUUCAAACUAGUGUAAAACACAUGGAGUAAUGGUGGCAGAAUUGUAAACUAUCCUUUUAAAUAUUUUAUUCUGAGACUUAUUUAUAUGUGUCUUGUCUUUUGCCAUAUUGUCUUUCUAGCUCAGAUUGUGAUGGACCUGGAAUGUGACACCAGUUACUCUUAAGUCAAGAACCGAAUAAAGCACAGAUGUGGAGGGAUCUGCAACUAAACUAACUGGAGGAAAGGAACCUUUAGUGUGGGUGAACAUACUACCUUGAUGUCCAACAAAGGCUGCACAAGAGCUCAUUUGAUAUUACAUAUUCUGUCCUGUCUACAUCUUUGAUGAAGUGCUUCGACAUCAG
Non-coding RNA from Danio rerio (zebrafish), 352 nucleotides. NCBI's taxonomy places the organism in Eukaryota, Metazoa, Chordata, Actinopteri, Cypriniformes, Danionidae. The record is from Ensembl.